This is a non-coding RNA of Phrynosoma platyrhinos (Desert horned lizard), 72 nucleotides long. NCBI's taxonomy places the organism in Eukaryota, Metazoa, Chordata, Lepidosauria, Squamata, Phrynosomatidae. The record is from the annotation of a GenBank genome assembly.
GUCUAUGUGGUAUAGUGGUUUGAAUGCUGGACUGGGACUUUAAGAGACUGGGUUCAAAUCCCUGCUCAGCCA